Molecule: ribosomal RNA, 305 nt
Filed under: uncultured bacterium
Lineage: Bacteria
Description: bacterial SSU rRNA
Rfam family: Bacterial small subunit ribosomal RNA
Source: RNAcentral
UCCUACGGGGGGCAGCAGUGAGGAAUAUUGGUCAAUGGGCGGGAGCCUGAACCAGCCAAGUCGCGUGAGGGACGACGGUCCUAUGGAUUGUAAACCUCUUUUGUCGGGGAACAAAGGCGUCCACGGGUGGGCGGAUGAGUGUACCCGAAGAAAAAGCAUCGGCUAACUCCGUGCCAGCAGCCGCGGUAAUACGGAGGAUGCGAGCGUUAUCCGGAUUUAUUGGGUUUAAAGGGUGCGCAGGCGGGCUGUUAAGCCGGCGGUAAAAAUUCAGGGCUCAACCCUGUCGGGCCGUCGGAACUGGCAGG